RNAcentral lists this ribosomal RNA (507 nucleotides) under uncultured bacterium. RNAcentral describes it as "bacterial SSU rRNA". It matches the Rfam family "Bacterial small subunit ribosomal RNA", at positions 26 to 518 of the family's 1533-position model. The record is from RNAcentral.
GAGAACGAACGCUGGCGGCGCGCUUAAGCAUGCAAGUCGGACGGCAAGGGUUGUGCUUGCACAACUCCUAGAGUGGCGGACUGGUGAGUAACGCGUGGGUGACCUGCCCUCGAGAUGGGGAUAGCCAUUAGAAAUAGUGGAUAAUACCGAAUACGCUCAUGACCCUGUGGGAUAUGAGGAAACAGGCUACGGCCUGGCUCGAGGAUGGGCCCGCGUCCCAUUAGCUAGUUGGUGAGGUAACGGCCCACCAAGGCGACGAUGGGUAUCCGGCCUGAGAGGGUGUACGGACACAUUGGGACUGAGAUACGGCCCAAACUCCUACGGGAGGCAGCAGCUAAGAAUAUUCCGCAAUGGACGAAAGUCUGACGGAGCGACGCCGCGUGGAUGAAAAGAAGGCCGGAAGGUUGUAAAAUCCUUUUGCUGAUGAAGAAUAAGUGUGGUAGGGAAUGACCGCAUGAUGACAUUAGUCGGUGAAUAAGCCCCGGCUAACUACGUGCCAGCCGCCGC